GGUUGUGGCUCAGUGGUAGAGCACUUGCCUAGUAUGUAUGAGGCACUGGGUUUGAUUCUCAGCACCA
This 67-nucleotide transfer RNA is filed under the name Marmota monax (woodchuck). RNAcentral describes it as "tRNA.Thr". It matches the Rfam family "tRNA". Rfam says of the family: Transfer RNA (tRNA) molecules are approximately 80 nucleotides in length. Their secondary structure includes four short double-helical elements and three loops (D, anti-codon, and T loops). Further hydrogen bonds mediate the characteristic L-shaped molecular structure. tRNAs have two regions of fundamental functional importance: the anti-codon, which is responsible for specific mRNA codon recognition, and the 3' end, to which the tRNAs corresponding amino acid is attached (by aminoacyl-tRNA synthetases). tRNAs cope with the degeneracy of the genetic code in two manners: having more than one tRNA (with a specific anti-codon) for a particular amino acid; and 'wobble' base-pairing, i.e. permitting non-standard base-pairing at the 3rd anti-codon position. The record is from RNAcentral. Lineage: Eukaryota; Metazoa; Chordata; Mammalia; Rodentia; Sciuridae.